RNAcentral lists this ribosomal RNA (380 nucleotides) under uncultured eukaryote. Its description in RNAcentral is "SSU rRNA". It matches the Rfam family "Eukaryotic small subunit ribosomal RNA", at positions 587 to 972 of the family's 1831-position model. The record is from RNAcentral.
AGCUCCAAUAGCGUAUAUUAAAGUUGUUGCAGUUAAAAAGCUCGUAGUUGGAUUUCUGUUUUUUGAGGGUGGUCCGCCGAAAGGCGAGCACUGCUACUCGAUUGACAUCCUCUCAAAGGCGUGAGGUGCACUUAAUUGUGUGUCGCAUGAAUUUGGGACCUUUACUUUGAAAAAAUUAGAGUGUUCAAAGCAGGCUAUUUGCUUGAAUAUAUUAGCAUGGAAUAAUGGAAUAGGACUUUGGUUCUAUUUUGUUGGUUUCUAGGACUGAAGUAAUGAUUAAUAGGGACAGUUGGGGGCAUUAGUAUUUAAUUGUCAGAGGUGAAAUUCUUGGAUUUAUGAAAGACUAACUACUGCGAAAGCAUUUGCCAAGGAUGUUUUCA